UGAUGGUGACUCUGUUGGUGACACUGGACAGGUGCAACCAGGGAGUGAUGUUUAUGGGACGACAGGGACGCCGUGGUUCAACGCCGGGCUUAUUGGAAGGAUAAUAUCCCUGUGAACGAAGAAACCAGAGAACCCCAGAGCUGUGGUGCGUUAUGGUCCUGCACAAACGGGAAGAGUGGAAAAAAAGACAGAAGCUCUAGAGAGACCUGUCAGAGCGAGCAGCUAUGGCAGAACACGGCCCGGAUCGGGUUCUGAGAUUCUACCGUCAGCAAACACAGGAGAUGCAUCUUUGCUGAGAGGUUCAUCCAUUUAAGAGCAGAAAUUUUAUAAUAGAUGUCUUUAGAAUAAAACCUUUUGUUAUUAAAAUGGAUUUGACAUUUUUUCAAAUAAAAAAGUUCAAAUUUGGGUCAUAUUGCAAAACCUAAAUGCAGGUUUCAAAAACAGUUGUACUAAUUCUGGAUUGUUUCUGUUUAAAUAAAACUAAAGAACAAAAAAA
Oryzias latipes (Japanese medaka) is the source of this 496-nucleotide non-coding RNA. The record is from RefSeq and is a predicted model, not a curated record. Lineage: Eukaryota; Metazoa; Chordata; Actinopteri; Beloniformes; Adrianichthyidae.